GGCCAUAGCUCAGUGAGUGGAGCAUCUGCUUUGCAAGCAGAAGGUCCCAGGUUCAAUCCCUGACAGCAUCU
RNAcentral lists this transfer RNA (71 nucleotides) under Podarcis lilfordi (Lilford's wall lizard). Its description in RNAcentral is "tRNA.Ala". The stretch from base 6 to 63 matches the Rfam family "tRNA", at positions 8 to 63 of the family's 71-position model. From Rfam's summary of the family: Transfer RNA (tRNA) molecules are approximately 80 nucleotides in length. The record is from RNAcentral. Lineage: Eukaryota; Metazoa; Chordata; Lepidosauria; Squamata; Lacertidae.